GGUUAAGCGACUAAGCGUACACGGUGGAUGCCCUGGCAGUCAGAGGCGAUGAAGGACGUGCUAAUCUGCGAUAAGCGUCGGUAAGGUGAUAUGAACCGUUAUAACCGGCGAUUUCCGAAUGGGGAAACCCAGUGUGUUUCGACACACUAUCAUUAACUGAAUCCAUAGGUUAAUGAGGCGAACCGGGGGAACUGAAACAUCUAAGUACCCCGAGGAAAAGAAAUCAACCGAGAUUCCCCCAGUAGCGGCGAGCGAACGGGGAGCAGCCCAGAGCCUGAAUCAGUGUGUGUGUUAGUGGAAGCGUCUGGAAAGGCGCGCGAUACAGGGUGACAGCCCCGUACACAAAAAUGCACAUCUGGU
RNAcentral lists this ribosomal RNA (360 nucleotides) under Escherichia coli. Its description in RNAcentral is "partial 23S ribosomal RNA". It matches the Rfam family "Bacterial large subunit ribosomal RNA", at positions 1 to 403 of the family's 2925-position model. The record is from RNAcentral. Lineage: Bacteria; Pseudomonadati; Pseudomonadota; Gammaproteobacteria; Enterobacterales; Enterobacteriaceae.